Culex pipiens pallens (northern house mosquito) is the source of this 876-nucleotide long non-coding RNA. RefSeq lists it as uncharacterized. The transcript is spliced from 2 exons. The record is from RefSeq and is a predicted model, not a curated record. Lineage: Eukaryota; Metazoa; Arthropoda; Insecta; Diptera; Culicidae.
UCAAGUAGGUUUCCCAUACUGAUGGGCUACAUAUUUCAGGGUGUAAUAUUACAUAAAAUUUAAUUAAAUAUUUCAAAGUUUAUUUUUCACCCAGGCCUUUUUACGUACACUAUAAAAGUUGCAUGAAAUUGAAAGAAAAUGUUCUUGUACUAAACUUAUACAGAAAAUCGAUAUCGGAGAAAGGACUCACACAAUGAUUACUCACUAUCAAAAUAGCUGCACUACAGUGACUCACUUUAAUCUUUGUUAUGCGCACGAAUAAACUGUUCAAAACACCACCGAUAAAGAUAUCGAGACAGAAAUUCCAUUCUAGGCAUAAAAGUACAUCAAACUAUGACCAAGUUGGGUCAGUUGUCGUUAAGCAUUGCAAGUAAGAAAGUGUGAUCUCAAGCCAUGGAGCUCAAAACUUCUUUAUUGCUGAUUCUAGCCUUCACUAUUUUCGAAAGCAAUUGUCUAAAGUGUUUCGAUUGUGGCGUGCCAAAUUUGAUGGUGGUGAAAUCUUUAAACUGCUUCAAAAGUGGAACUGAGUGUUUUGGCGAAAAUUCAACAUGCAUCGAUUUCCGAUUGAAAGAUCAAAAUCAGAAUUCGGAUUUCGUUAUCAAAGGAUGUGCUUCCACCGGAGUCUGCGAAUUUCUGGGAAGGAAACUGUCCAAUUUCAAGGAAAUUUCCUGCUCCCAGUGCUCCGAAGAUUGGUGCAAUGAUCAACACAUCACCAAGCGGGGGCGCAGAGAAGCAACUUCAACUCCAACGAAACCCAAACGUGGGCAAACACUGAAAGAUUUAGUGAAAAAAGUUCAAAAUGAACAAAAGGAAUCCAACAAAUUAACUAGAGAGAAAUUUGAAGAAAUUAUAUCAAAAUAUAAAAGUCUAAAUGAG